RNAcentral lists this ribosomal RNA (500 nucleotides) under uncultured bacterium. RNAcentral's name for it is "partial 16S ribosomal RNA". It matches the Rfam family "Bacterial small subunit ribosomal RNA", at positions 29 to 523 of the family's 1533-position model. The record is from RNAcentral.
AUUGAACGCUGGCGGCAUGCCUUACACAUGCAAGUCGAACGGCAGCACGGGAGCAAUCCUGGUGGCGAGUGGCGAACGGGUGAGUAAAGUAUCGGAACGUGCCCAGUCGUGGGGGAUAACGUAGCGAAAGUUACGCUAAUACCGCAUACGACCUAUGGAUGAAAGCGGGGGAUCGCAAGACCUUGCGCGAUUGGAGCGGCCGAUAUCAGAUUAGGUAGUUGGUGGGGUAAAGGCUCACCAAGCCGACGAUCUGUAGCUGGGCUGAGAGGACGCCCAGCCAGACUGGGACUGAGACGCGGACCAGACUCCUACGGGAGGCAGCAGUGGGGAAUGUUGGACAAUGGGCGCAAGCCUGAGCCAGCCAUGCCGCGUGAAGGAUGAAGGCCUUCGGGUUGUAAACUGCUUUUGUACGGAACGAAAAGGUUUGACUUAAUACGUUGGACUCAUGACGGUACCGUAAGAAUAAGCACCGGCUAACUACGUGCCAGCAGCCGCGGUAA